Molecule: unclassified non-coding RNA, 263 nt
Filed under: plant metagenome
Description: partial contains small subunit ribosomal RNA, internal transcribed spacer 1, and 5.8S ribosomal RNA
Source: RNAcentral
UUUCCGUAGGUGAACCUGCGGAAGGAUCAUUAUUGUAUAACCGAGGUGCGAGGGCUGUCGCUGACUCGAAAGGUCGUGCACGCCCGAGUGCCCUCACACACAUCCAUCUCACCCCUAUGUGCACCACCGCGUGGGUCCCCCUUUGGCUUGUUCGGAGGGGGGCUUACGUUUUCACACAAACUUUGUAUGCAGUGUAGAAUGUAUUUUUUGUUUUUGCGAUCACGCAAUCAAUACAACUUUCAACAAUGGAUCUCUUGGCUCUC